CCUACGGGAGGCAGCAGUGGGGAAUCUUGCGCAAUGGGCGAAAGCCUGACGCAGCCAUGCCGCGUGUAUGAUGAAGGUCUUAGGAUUGUAAAAUACUUUCACCGGUGAAGAUAAUGACUGUAGCCGGAGAAGAAGCCCCGGCUAACUUCGUGCCAGCAGCCGCGGUAAUACGAAGGGGGCUAGCGUUGCUCGGAAUUACUGGGCGUAAAGGGAGCGUAGGCGGACAUUUAAGUCAGGGGUGAAAUCCCAGAGCUCAACUCUGGAACUGCCUUUGAUACUGGGUGUCUUGAGUGUGAUAGAGGUAUGUGGAACUCCGAGUGUAGAGGUGAAAUUCGUAGAUAUUCGGAAGAACACCAGUGGCGAAGGCGACAUACUGGAUCAUUACUGACGCUGAGGCUCGAAAGCGCGGGGAGCAAACAGGAUUAGAUACCCUGGUAGUCCACGCCGUAAACGAUGAUUGCUAGUUGUCGGGAUGUUUACAUCUCGGUGACGCAGCUAACGCAUUAAGCAAUCCGCCUGGGGAGUACGGUCGCAAGAUUAAAAACUCAAAAGGAAUUGACGGNNGAGACGNGCGAGACGACACGAGGAGAGG
Molecule: ribosomal RNA, 592 nt
Filed under: uncultured bacterium
Lineage: Bacteria
Description: bacterial SSU rRNA
Rfam family: Bacterial small subunit ribosomal RNA
Source: RNAcentral